GACGAACGCUGGCGGCGUGCUUAACACAUGCCAGUCGAACGAUGAAGCCUAGCUUGCUAGGUGGAUUAGUGGCGAACGGGUGAGUAAUACGUUAGUGACCUACCUUUGACUCUGGGAUAAGCCUGGGAAACUGGGUCUAAUACCGGAUACGCCCAAUCUCCGCAUUGGGUGUUUUUGGAAAGCGUUAUGGAGUGGUUUUAGAUGGGCUCACGGCCUAUCAGCUUGUUGGUUAGGUAAUGGCUUACCAAGGCGACGACGGGUAGCCGGCCUGAGAGGGUGACCGGCCACACUGGGACUGAGACACGGCCCAGACUCCUACGGGAGGCAGCAGUGGGGAAUAUUGCACAAUGGGCGCAAGCCUGAUGCAGCGACGCCGCGUGAGGGAUGACGGCCUUCGGGUUGUAAACCUCUGUUAGCAUCGAAGAAGCGAAAGUGACGGUAGGUGCAGAGAAAGCGCCGGCUAACUACGUG
This 471-nucleotide ribosomal RNA is filed under the name uncultured bacterium. RNAcentral describes it as "partial 16S ribosomal RNA". It matches the Rfam family "Bacterial small subunit ribosomal RNA", at positions 28 to 507 of the family's 1533-position model. The record is from RNAcentral.